AAUUUUGGACAAUGGGGGAAAGCCUGAUCCAGCGACGCCGCGUGGGUGAAGAAGGCCUGCGGGUUGUAAAGCCCUUUCGGUGGGGAAGAAAAGCUUCGACCUAAUACGUCGAGGUCUUGACGUAACCCACAGAAGAAGCACCGGCUAACUCUGUGCCAGCAGCCGCGGUAAUACAGAGGGUGCGAGCGUUAAUCGGAAUUACUGGGCGUACAGCGCGCGUAGGCGGCUUUGCAAGUCGGGUGUGAAAUCCCUGGGCUUAACCUAGGAACUGCACUCGAGACUGCAUUGCUAGAGUAUGGUAGAGGGAAGUGGAAUUUCCGGUGUAGCGGUGAAAUGCGUAGAUAUCGGAAGGAACACCAGUGGCGAAAGCGACUUCCUGGACCAAUACUGACGCUCAGGCGCGAAAGCGUGGGGAGCAAACAGG
Molecule: ribosomal RNA, 424 nt
Filed under: uncultured bacterium
Lineage: Bacteria
Description: partial 16S ribosomal RNA
Rfam family: Bacterial small subunit ribosomal RNA
Source: RNAcentral